AUGGCGCCGCCGGAGGAGGCCGGCGGCGGGGACCAGUUCCCGGUGGGAAUGAAGGUGCUGGUCGUCGACGACGACCAGACGUGCCUCGCCGUGCUCAAGAGGAUGCUCGUCCAGUGCCGCUACGACGCUACAACUUGUUCUCAGGCCACGAGAGCAUUAGCUAUGCUGCGAGAGAACAGGGGUGCUUUUGAUGUUAUAAUUAGUGAUGUUCACAUGCCUGAUAUGAAUGGAUUCAGGUUACUUGAACUUGUAGGCCUUGAGAUGGAUCUUCCAGUUAUUAUGAUGUCUGCUGAUUCAAGGACGGAUCUAGUAAUGAAAGGAAUAAAACAUGGAGCAUGUGAUUAUUUGAUUAAACCUGUCAGGAUGGAAGAGUUAAAAAACAUCUGGCAACAUGUUGUGAGGAAAAAGUUUGGUGGAAGCAAGGAACAUGAGCAUUCAGGUAGCUUAGAUGAUACAGAUCGGAACAGACUAACUAAUAAUGAUAAUGAGUAUGCUUCCUCUGCAAAUGAUGGAGCUGAGGAUAGCUGGAAGUCUCAGAAAAAGAAACGGGAUAAAGAAGAGGAUGACAGUGAAUUGGAAAGUGGUGAUCCUUCUAAUAAUUCGAAGAAACCCAGAGUUGUUUGGUCAGUUGAGCUCCAUCAACAAUUUGUAAAUGCAGUUAAUCACCUCGGAAUAGACAAAGCUGUUCCCAAGAAAAUUUUGGAGUUGAUGAAUGUCCCUGGUUUAACUAGGGAAAACGUCGCCAGCCAUUUGCAGAAAUUCAGAUUGUAUCUGAAAAGGAUAGCUCAGCAUCAUGCAGGAAUGGCCAAUCCAUAUAGUGUGCCUGCUUCUAGUGCUCAAGUGGCCUCCUUGGGAGGACUUGAUUUCCAAGCUUUGGCUGCUUCAGGUCAAAUCCCUCCUCAAGCCCUGGCAGCUUUGCAGGAUGAGCUCCUAGGACGACCUACAAACAGCCUGGUGUUGCCUGGAAGGGACCAGUCAUCUUUACGACUUGCUGCAGUCAAAGGAAAUAAGCCCCAUGGAGAGCAAAUAGCAUUUGGGCAGCCGAUAUACAAGGUCCAGAAUAAUUCAUAUGCGGCAUUACCCCAAAACAGCUCUGCAGUUGGAAGAAUGCCUUCUUUUUCAGCUUGGCCCAAUAACAAACUUGGUAUGUCAGAUUCAAUGAGCGCACUGGGUCAUGUGAAUAAUUCUCAGAAUAGCAAUAUGGUCUUGCACGAAUUGCAACAGCAGCCAGAUACCAUGCUGUCGGGAACCCUUCACACUCUAGAUGUCAAACCUUCCGGCAUAGUAAUGCCAUCUCAGUCAUUAAAUACUUUCCCAGCUAGUGAGGGACUCUCUCCUAAUCAAAAUUCCUUGAUUAUACCUUCUCAAUCGUCAGGUUUUCUAACAGGCAUUCCUCCAUCCAUGAAGCCUGAACUUGUUCUCCCAACUUCUCAAUCAUCAAACAGUCUGUUAGGUGGGAUUGAUCUGAUUAACCAAGCUUCAACCAGUCAGCCUUUCAUUAGUAGCCAUGGAGGAAAUCUUCCUGGUCUCAUGAAUCGUAACUCAAAUGUGAUGCCAUCACAAGGAAUAAGUAGCUUUCAAACUGGUAAUACUCCAUAUCUGGUUAAUCAGAACUCUAUGGGAAUGGGCUCUAAACCACCUGGUGUUCUAAAGACUGAGAGCACUGACUCUCUUAACCAAAACUAUGCUUAUGCCAACCAUAUGGAUUCCGGCUUGCUGUCUUCUCAGUCAAAAAAUGCACAGUUCGGUUUUCUGCAGAGUCCAAAUGAUAUCACAGGUGGCUGGUCUUCUUUGCAAAAUAUGGAUGGUUAUAGAAAUACUGUUGGGCCAAGUCAGCCAGUGUCCAGUUCGUCUAGCUUUCAGAGUUCUAAUGCAGCCCUUGGGAAAUUGCCUGAUCAAGGACGAGGAAAAAAUCUUGGAUUUGUUGGGAAGGGUACUUGCAUCCCGAACCGCUUUGCAGUGGAUGAGAUUGAAUCUCCAACUAACAGCUUGAGUCACAGCAUUGGAAGCAGUGGAGACAUCCCUGACAUGUUCGGAUUUAGUGGACAGAUGUGA
This 2055-nucleotide ribosomal RNA is filed under the name Triticum aestivum (bread wheat). RNAcentral's name for it is "partial small subunit ribosomal RNA". Lineage: Eukaryota; Viridiplantae; Streptophyta; Magnoliopsida; Poales; Poaceae. The record is from RNAcentral.